CCUACGGGAGGCAGCAGUGAGGAAUAUUGGUCAAUGGCCGAGAGGCUGAACCAGCCAAGUCGCGUGAGGGAAGAAUGUCCUAAGGAUUGUAAACCUCUUUUGUCGGGGAGCAAAAAGGCUCUGCGGAGUCGUAUUGAGAGUACCCGAAGAAAAAGCAUCGGCUAACUCCGUGCCAGCAGCCGCGGUAAUACGGAGGAUGCGAGCGUUAUCCGGAUUUAUUGGGUUUAAAGGGUGCGCAGGCGGCGUGUCAAGCAAGCGGUAAAAUAGCGGGGCUCAACCCCGUCGAGCCGUUUGAACUGGCGCGC
This 305-nucleotide ribosomal RNA is filed under the name uncultured bacterium. RNAcentral's name for it is "bacterial SSU rRNA". It matches the Rfam family "Bacterial small subunit ribosomal RNA", at positions 338 to 641 of the family's 1533-position model. The record is from RNAcentral.